Hordeum vulgare subsp. vulgare (domesticated barley) is the source of this 1463-nucleotide RNA transcript. It is a transcript of the gene named BTB/POZ and MATH domain-containing protein 2-like, with no coding region annotated. NCBI's taxonomy places the organism in Eukaryota, Viridiplantae, Streptophyta, Magnoliopsida, Poales, Poaceae. The transcript has 3 exons. The record is from RefSeq and is a predicted model, not a curated record.
CGCCUCCUCCGCCGGCCGGCGCCAGGUACUCACAAGCAAGGCUGCGCCCAGAAAGCUGGGACCUUUCUUCUCCGGUGGCACGAAAAACGUUAGAUCCCAAGUUCCCAACCAAAGAGGAAAGUGUUCCCUAUCCAAUCCUCACCAUGGAAACCGCCAGCAAGAACGUCACCAAUGUCGUGCGCUCCAUGAAGCUGCUCAAGGUCGACGGCUACUGUGCCACCAAAACCAUGGGCAACGAGGACUGCAUCAAGUCCACCCACAGCAUUGGUGGGUAUGAGUGAGAGAUCUGCAUCUACCCCGCGAUGAUGCCGCACGCACGCGACGGCACCCCGUGGGUGGCGGUGAAGCUCGUGUUCCUCAGCGAGACCUGCCCGUCCAUCGUGAGGGCGAACCUAAGCUGUCGUCUGGUUGAUCCGAGGAGUGUCCUUCGACCGUCUGAAGAAAAGAGUGUGUCAUGUAUAUUCAACCGGUCUUGGGUAUCACGUUGUCUUCAGAUGUGCUCGCCUUUCGUCAGUGAAGAUUGUUCGCUUCCAGUUCGUCUCAUGUCGACGGGCACCCUAGCAUCAUCCGGUUAUCUCAGGAAUGAUUCUUUUACCGUGCUAUGCGUUAUCACGGUACUGAAGGAUGAUUUGCCAGCACGAGCAGCAACGGUGCCGGGUAAAGAAGUGACCGGGUCAUCACCUAGCCUGCAGAAUCACCUUGCUGAGCUCCUGCACAGUGGGUUGGAAGCAGAUGUCACAUUUGUUGUGUCGGGCAAGUCCUUCGCUGCACACAAUGUCAUCCUUGCUGCGAGGUCCCCUGUACUGAUGGCGGAGUUCUUUGGACACAUGAAGGAGACAAGCUCACAGCGCGUCGAGAUCAAGGACAUUGUUGCGGUGGUUUUCAAGCCGUUACUUUACUUCAUCUACAACGACUCUGUGAUGGAAUUUGAAAUGCAGCAUGAGGAGGUCACGAUGUUGGCCCAGCAUUUACUUGCAGCUGCUGACAAGUAUGGACUUGAUAGGCUCAAGGAGAUCUGUGAAGGCAAGCUAUCUGAUGGCAUCAGUGUCGACACAGCAGCAACUACUCUGGCAUUAGCAGAGCAGCACAACUGCCCGCAGCUCAAAGUGAAAUGUGUUGACUUCAUCGUUGGCACUCCUGCAAUUCUUGAUGCUGUGUUGGCGACGGACGGAUAUAAGCAUCUGGAGGCAAGCUGUCCUAUGGUGUUGCCGGAGCUUCUCAAGUCUGCGCGGGGCAGAAAGAGUUGACGUGUGACCGUAAGGGUGCUAAAGGUCCAAGAUUUUAUCAUGCCCGUAGUCUAUGUUUAUGGUUGCCAUGCAUCUGUGGUCCAGUAGAAACCUGUGUCUGUAUUCACAUAAACUGGAAAAACUUAUGUCCAUCUACGUAUAUGUAUGACCAUCUUAAUGCUUGCAUUUCCUCUCCAAUUUGAUCUAAUUUAGUGCUAAAUGAUCCAAAUUUUUGUA